Molecule: non-coding RNA, 71 nt
Organism: Cordylochernes scorpioides
Lineage: Eukaryota; Metazoa; Arthropoda; Arachnida; Pseudoscorpiones; Chernetidae
Source: the annotation of a GenBank genome assembly
UGCAUCGGCCGGGAAUCGAACUCGGGCGGCUCGCGUGGCAGGCGAGCAUUCUACCACUGAACAACCGAUGG